CGGAACGCUGGCGGGAUGCUUUACACAUGCAAGUCGAACGGCAGCACGGACUUCGGUCUGGUGGCGAGUGGCGAACGGGUGAGUAAUGUAUCGGAACGCCUAGUAGCGGGGGAUAACUACGCGAAAGCGCAGCCAAUACCGCACAAUACGCCCUUCGGGGGAAAGCGGGGACCUUCGGGCCUCGCACUAUUAGAGCGGCCGAUAUCGGAUUAGCUAGUUGGUGGGGUAACGGCUCACCAAGGCGACGAUCCGUAGCUGGUUUGAGAGGACACCAGCCACACUGGGACUGAGACACGGCCCAGACUCCUACGGGAGGCAGCAGUGGGGAAUUUUGACAAUGGGGGAACCCUGAUCCAGCCAUCCCUGCGUGUGCGAUGAAGGCCUUCGGGUUGUAGCACUUUGGCAGGAAGAAUGCACGGAUAAUACCCCGUGCAACUGACGGUACCUGCAGAAUAAGCACCGGCUAACUACGUGCCAGCAGCUGCGGUAAUACGUAGGGUAAGCGUUAAUCGGAAUUACCGGGCGUAAAGCGUGCGCAGGCGGUUCGGAAAGAAAGAUGUGAAAUCCAGAGCUUAACUUCUUUGGAACUGCAUUUCUUUAACUACUGAGCUAGAGGUGUCAGAGGGAGGUGGAAUUCCGCGUAGCAGUGAAAUGCGUAGAUAUGCGGAGGAACGCCGAUGGCGAAGGCAGCCUCCUGGGAUAACACUGACGCUCAUGCACGAAAGUGUGGGGAGCAAACAGGAUUAGAUACCCUAGUAGUCCACGCUCCCAAAACGAUGUCAACUAGCUGUUGGGGCCUUCGGGCCUUGGUAGCGCAGCUAACGCGUGAAGUUGACCGCCUGGGGAGUACGGUCGCAAGAUUAAAACUCAAAGGAAUUGACGGGGACCCGCGCAAGCGGUGGAUGAUGUGGAUUACCCUGAUGCAACGCGAAAAACCUACCUACCCUUGACAUGUCUGGAAUCCCGAAGAGAUUUGGGAGUGCUCGCAAGAGAACCGGGAACACAGGUGCUGCAUGGCUGUCGUCAGCUCGUGUCGUGAGAUGUUGGGUUAAGUCCCGGCAACGAGCGCAACUUGUCAUUAGUUGCUACGUGAAAGGGCACUCUAAUGAGACUGCCGGUGACAAACCGGAGGAAGGUGGGGAUGACGUCAAGUCCUCAUGGCCCUUAUGGGUAGGGCUUCACACGUCAUACAAUGGUCGGGACAGAGGGUCGCCAACCCGCGAGGGGGAGCCAAUCCCAGAAACCCGAUCGUAGUCCGGAUCGCAGUCUGCAACUCGACUGCGUGAAGUCGGAAUCGCUAGUAAUCAUGGAUCAGCAUGUCGCGGUGAAUAUUGCCCCUCGGGUCUUGUACACACCGCCCGUCACACCAUGUGGAGUGGGUUUCAACAGAAGUGCUAGCUCAACCGUGCAAGGGAGGGCGAUUACCACUAGGAUCUAUGACUGGGGUGAAGUCGUAACAAGGCAG
RNAcentral lists this ribosomal RNA (1465 nucleotides) under uncultured Bordetella sp. RNAcentral describes it as "partial 16S-23S ribosomal RNA intergenic spacer". It matches the Rfam family "Bacterial small subunit ribosomal RNA". Lineage: Bacteria; Pseudomonadati; Pseudomonadota; Betaproteobacteria; Burkholderiales; Alcaligenaceae. The record is from RNAcentral.